Molecule: long non-coding RNA, 287 nt
Filed under: Elaeis guineensis (African oil palm)
Lineage: Eukaryota; Viridiplantae; Streptophyta; Magnoliopsida; Arecales; Arecaceae
Description: long non-coding RNA (EGUI_LNC068500)
Source: RNAcentral
GCCUCUUCCUCCCUUCUCCACUUCAUGUCCAUGCUAAGAUCUGAUGGAGAUCAGAUCUAAAAAGAGUAAAGAGAGAGAAGAAGAGAAGAAGAAGGAUUCUUCUUCUCUUCAUGAUGAUCUGAUUCAGAUCCCAUCGGAUCUGCGCGAAAGAGUUCGCACAGCGAUCUGCUUCUUCAAGAUCUAGGAGAAGAGAUCAAGAUCUAUGGAUGAGGAGCGAGAUCUGCAAGGUGCUAGCACAUCGGUGAUCUCAGUGCUCUGAUCAGAUGGCUCCGUAUGGAUAUCAGCAG